Molecule: ribosomal RNA, 113 nt
Filed under: Saprospiraceae bacterium
Lineage: Bacteria; Pseudomonadati; Bacteroidota; Saprospiria; Saprospirales; Saprospiraceae
Also listed under: 1 other name
Source: RNAcentral
GUUGGCGGCCAUUGCGAGGGGGCACACCUCUUCCCAUUCCGAACAGAGCAGUUAAGCCCCUCUGCGCCGAUGGUACUGGCCCUAAAGGCUGGGAGAGUAGGUCGCCGCCAACU